CGGGGUCAAAGCCAAGUCACGCCAUCACUGCAGAGGGAGUUCUUUGGGCUCAUGGGCCGGAGAAGUUCGGAUGAAUUCUUCGGCCUGAUGGGAAAACGAUCUUCGGAUUCUAAGUCGGCAGCCUGGCGCCUGAAAACGAUGCUAAGCUGCCUCCUGAAGAGCACUUCUCAAGCCACCAACGCUGGGCUUCCCUCCCCGGAGAGAGCUCCACUCCACAAAACGCCGGUCAUGCCGUAGCCAAGAGGUCAAGUUUGCCCGAAUGGGCCAGAGUGCACCGUGAGAGUCCCUUUCUCAUUGAUAAUCUGCACUUUUAAACGCGAGAAAAUGUGUUUUUCUUUUACACGUCAGGUUAACACAACUGUCACGAGGGAUGCACGUGGGUUAUUUUAUUUGCGCCCCCCAAG
Lethenteron reissneri (Far Eastern brook lamprey) is the source of this 404-nucleotide long non-coding RNA. RefSeq lists it as uncharacterized. NCBI's taxonomy places the organism in Eukaryota, Metazoa, Chordata, Hyperoartia, Petromyzontiformes, Petromyzontidae. The record is from RefSeq and is a predicted model, not a curated record.